GAUUGUUUUACCUUUUGCUUUUAUAAUAAGAAAAGAAAAAUGACAAAGAUCAGAAGUUUGGAAGAAAGAAGGGAUAAGUUUGGAUUAAAGAAUCAAUUGGCCAAACCAAAAUUUGAGGUGGGGAGAGAUUUGGAUUGGAUAUACCUCAUCUCAUAAAAUCCCUCACCUAACCCUAAUUUCGAGUUUUAGUUGUUGGAUCAUGAAGAUAAUUCAGGGAAUCAUCCACGUUGAAUCAAGAACAGUCAUACAAGUGAGUUGGACACUACAUAUUUAUUUAAAAUGUUAGGUUUAU
Molecule: long non-coding RNA, 292 nt
Filed under: Medicago truncatula (barrel medic)
Lineage: Eukaryota; Viridiplantae; Streptophyta; Magnoliopsida; Fabales; Fabaceae
Description: lncRNA gene12298
Source: RNAcentral